This 682-nucleotide ribosomal RNA is filed under the name Escherichia coli. RNAcentral describes it as "partial 23S ribosomal RNA". It matches the Rfam family "Bacterial large subunit ribosomal RNA", at positions 604 to 1285 of the family's 2925-position model. Lineage: Bacteria; Pseudomonadati; Pseudomonadota; Gammaproteobacteria; Enterobacterales; Enterobacteriaceae. The record is from RNAcentral.
CCUUUUGUAUAAUGGGUCAGCGACUUAUAUUCUGUAGCAAGGUUAACCGAAUAGGGGAGCCGAAGGGAAACCGAGUCUUAACUGGGCGUUAAGUUGCAGGGUAUAGACCCGAAACCCGGUGAUCUAGCCAUGGGCAGGUUGAAGGUUGGGUAACACUAACUGGAGGACCGAACCGACUAAUGUUGAAAAAUUAGCGGAUGACUUGUGGCUGGGGGUGAAAGGCCAAUCAAACCGGGAGAUAGCUGGUUCUCCCCGAAAGCUAUUUAGGUAGCGCCUCGUGAAUUCAUCUCCGGGGGUAGAGCACUGUUUCGGCAAGGGGGUCAUCCCGACUUACCAACCCGAUGCAAACUGCGAAUACCGGAGAAUGUUAUCACGGGAGACACACGGCGGGUGCUAACGUCCGUCGUGAAGAGGGAAACAACCCAGACCGCCAGCUAAGGUCCCAAAGUCAUGGUUAAGUGGGAAACGAUGUGGGAAGGCCCAGACAGCCAGGAUGUUGGCUUAGAAGCAGCCAUCAUUUAAAGAAAGCGUAAUAGCUCACUGGUCGAGUCGGCCUGCGCGGAAGAUGUAACGGGGCUAAACCAUGCACCGAAGCUGCGGCAGCGACGCUUAUGCGUUGUUGGGUAGGGGAGCGUUCUGUAAGCCUGCGAAGGUGUGCUGUGAGGCAUGCUGGAGGUAUCAG